RNAcentral lists this ribosomal RNA (41 nucleotides) under Phytophthora citrophthora. Its description in RNAcentral is "partial 18S ribosomal RNA". The record is from RNAcentral. Lineage: Eukaryota; Oomycota; Peronosporomycetes; Peronosporales; Peronosporaceae.
GAAAGAGGUACAGUUUCGUAGGGAACUUGGGAAGGAUCAUU